RNAcentral lists this ribosomal RNA (497 nucleotides) under uncultured bacterium. RNAcentral's name for it is "partial 16S ribosomal RNA". It matches the Rfam family "Bacterial small subunit ribosomal RNA", at positions 28 to 507 of the family's 1533-position model. The record is from RNAcentral.
GAUGAACGCUGGCGGCGUGCCUAAUACAUGCAAGUCGAGCGAACGGACGCGAAGCUUGCUUCUCUGAUGUUAGCGGCGGACGGGUGAGUAACACGUGGAUAACCUACCUAUAAGACUGGUAUAACUUCGGGAAACCGUAGCUUAUUCCGGAUAAUAUUUUUCACCGCAUGGUUCAAAAGUGAAAGAUGGUCUUGCUGUCACUUAUAGAUGCAUCCGCGCUGUAUUAGCUAGUUGGUAAGGUAACGGCUUACCAAGGGAACGAUGCGUAGCCGAACUGAGGGGGUGAUAGGCGACAUGGGAGCGGGAACAGGGUCAAGACUCCUAAGGGAGGGAGCAGUAGGGAAUCUUCCGCAAUGGGCGAGAGCAUGACGGAGCAAGGCGGAGUGAGUGAUGAAGGUGUUGGGAUAGGAAAAAUCGGUUAUGAGGGAAGAACAUAUGUGAAAGGAAAUGUGCAGAAAGUGACGGUACCUGAUCAGAAAGCCACGGCUAACUACGUG